UGACGUCAAAUCAUCAUGCCCCUUAUGACCUGGGCUACACACGUGCUACAAUGGACGGUACAACGAGUUGCGAAGUCGUGAGGCCAAGCUAAUCUCUUAAAGCCGUUCUCAGUUCGGAUUGUAGGCUGCAACUCGCCUACAUGAAGUUGGAAUCGCUAGUAAUCGCGGAUCAGCA
Molecule: ribosomal RNA, 175 nt
Filed under: uncultured Lactobacillus sp.
Lineage: Bacteria; Bacillati; Bacillota; Bacilli; Lactobacillales; Lactobacillaceae
Description: partial 16S ribosomal RNA
Rfam family: Bacterial small subunit ribosomal RNA
Source: RNAcentral